AUUGAACGCUGGCGGCAUGCCUUACACAUGCAAGUCGAACGGCAGCACGGGAGCAAUCCUGGUGGCGAGUGGCGAACGGGUGAGUAAUAUAUCGGAACGUGCCCAGUCGUGGGGGAUAACGUAGCGAAAGCUACGCUAAUACCGCAUACGAUCUACGGAUGAAAGCGGGGGAUCGCAAGACCUCGCGCGAUUGGAGCGGCCGAUAUCAGAUUAGCUAGUUGGUGAGGUAAAGGCUCACCAAGGCGACGAUCUGUAGCGGGUCUGAGAGGAUGAUCCGCCACACUGGAACUGAGACACGGUCCAGACUCCUACGGGAGGCAGCAGUGGGGAAUUUUGGACAAUGGGGGCAACCCUGAUCCAGCCAUGCCGCGUGAGUGAAGAAGGCCUUCGGGUUGUAAAGCUCUUUCGGCCGGGAAAAAUACGCAUCAGUUAAUACCUGGUGUGGAUGAUGGUACCGGAAUAAGAAGCACCGGCUAACUACGUGCC
RNAcentral lists this ribosomal RNA (486 nucleotides) under uncultured bacterium. RNAcentral's name for it is "bacterial SSU rRNA". It matches the Rfam family "Bacterial small subunit ribosomal RNA", at positions 30 to 509 of the family's 1533-position model. The record is from RNAcentral.